AGGAUGAACGCUGGCGGCGUGCUUAAGACAUGCAAGUCGAACGCAGAGCUGAUAGCAAUAUUGGCUCUGAGUGGCGAAUGGGUGCGUAACACGUAGGUGACCUGCCCUGAAGUGGGGAAUAACAGUCCGAAAGGACUGCUAAUACCGCAUACGGUUCAAGGCGUUAGAGAACUUGAACCAAAGCUCGUAAGGGCGCUUCGAGGAGGGCCUGACGGCCCAUCGAGUUAGUUGGUAGGGUAACGCCUACCAAGACGACGACGGGUAGGGACCUGAGGAGGGUCGGCCCCCACACUGGCACUGACACGACGGCCAGACUCCGUACGGGACGCAGCAGUCGGAUAUCGCCAUGGACAAGUCUAGAGGCAGACACGCCGCGUGCGCGAUGGAACGGU
RNAcentral lists this ribosomal RNA (392 nucleotides) under uncultured soil bacterium. RNAcentral describes it as "bacterial SSU rRNA". It matches the Rfam family "Bacterial small subunit ribosomal RNA", at positions 26 to 417 of the family's 1533-position model. The record is from RNAcentral.